RNAcentral lists this ribosomal RNA (697 nucleotides) under uncultured Hydnum. Its description in RNAcentral is "eukaryotic LSU rRNA". The stretch from base 261 to 414 matches the Rfam family "5.8S ribosomal RNA". The record is from RNAcentral. Lineage: Eukaryota; Fungi; Basidiomycota; Agaricomycetes; Cantharellales; Hydnaceae.
CUUGGUCAUUUAGAGGAAGUAAAAGUCGUAACAAGGUUUCCGUAGGUGAACCUGCGGAAGGAUCAUUAUUGAAAUUAUAGGCGAGGGUUGUAGCUGGCCUCUCGGGGCAUGUGCACGCCUGAGCCCUUAAUCCACACACACCUGUGAACCUAUUGUAAGGGCCCUUAAAAAAGGCCUUUACGCCUUAUCAUCAACCCAUCGUAUGUCUCAUAGAAUGUAAAUAUAUGUCCUCGCCUUAAAAAGCGUUGAUAAACUUAUACAACUUUUAACAACGGAUCUCUUGGCUCUCGCAUCGAUGAAGAACGCAGCGAAAUGCGAUACGUAAUGUGAAUUGCAGAAUUCAGUGAAUCAUCGAAUCUUUGAACGCACCUUGCGCUCUCUGGUAUUCCGGGGAGCACACCUGUUCGAGUGUUAUUAAGACUAUCAAACAAAGGUGUCUAUCUCUGUUUGGAUUUGGGCUUUGCUGCAUUAAUGUGGCUAGUCUUAAAUAUAUUAGCUGGUCCUUGUUGAGGGUUUUGGUUCUACUCAGCGUGAUAAUUAUCUAACGUUGAGGACAGUUUCAGACCUGGCCAUAGUGAAAACUGGCCAUAGCUCUCUCUGGAUUGCUUCUAAAUUGUCUUGAGGACAAUUGCUUAAUUUCUGACCUCGAAUCAGGUGGGACUACCCGCUGAACUUAAGCAUAUCAAUAAGCGGAGGA